This 1396-nucleotide long non-coding RNA is filed under the name Equus caballus (horse). Its description in RNAcentral is "lncRNA (ENSECAG00000046376.1)". The record is from RNAcentral. Lineage: Eukaryota; Metazoa; Chordata; Mammalia; Perissodactyla; Equidae.
CCUGGCACAGCAUGGCUUGGCAAGCAGUACAUAAGUCUGCACCUGGGAUCCAAACCCGUGAACCCCGGGCCUCUGAAGUAGAGUAUGAGAACUUAACCACUAUGCUACUAGGGCAACCCUGCUCUCUUUUAUUUUCUUUGUCUUGUUUCCCCAGCAACUUCUUGACUCCUCCAGACUGACCAUGUCUCUGUCUCUCAUGCUCUUCAAGCCCCUCUUACCUUUGGACAGUUUUCCUCUGCCUGGAGGUUUUCCUUCCCUUACUUGCUUAGUUACUGCCUUUCUUCUCAUCUGUGCUGAAGCUUUUUCUGAUCUAUCUGACUAGAACUCUGCCUCAAAGCCAUCCCCCAUUACAAGAUCUUAUAAUACCCUUUCUCUCUCCUUAACCACAGUUUCAACAUUUGCCUUUUCACAUUUCUCUGUGCUGUCUUUGGUUAAUAUGUCCCACCUCCACCAGCUGAAUUUGGUUUAUGGGGUGUGGAAACUCCUCCUAGUUUCAUUCACAUGUGUCUCCCCACUGUGCUCAACAACUAUAUGUAGAAUUGAUGAAUGUAUGUGAUAUUAUAAUUUUAUUCUGUUCUUUCUUUAUUCAUUAAUUGAACCCCCAUGAGGUCAAUUAUGGACUUUUCAAGAUCGUGGACUGACUGUCCUCUCUUCCUCUUGACUUCCCUCAUAUCAAGCCCAGUAUCAGUCUGAAAAAGGCAUUCAAAAACUGCUGAUUAAAAGAAACUAAGUUGUGUGGUGAGUGUGGAUGACCAAUUAUUUAAAACAAAAUUGCCUGUUGAUACUGUUGCUGGUCCAAGGACUGCACUUUGAGAAUCACUGUCCUAGAUCCUUACCUGUUUGGAUAUCUUUAAGGCUUUUGAGGAAAAAGUUCACCAACUGUCUCUAACAGUACCCAGAUUAGAAAUAACUCCAUCAUGAAAGAAAGGACUUCAGCAGAGUGAUUACAACUAUGGGUUCUGGAACCAAACCUUCUAGGAUUCCUUUUCUGUGGACACAAGUUAAUUAAGCUCCCUCUGAUUAAGUUCCAUCAUCUCCUCUGGGAAUAUCAACAGAUCCUUCAUCAUGGUGUUAUUGUGAAAAUUUCAUAAGAUAAUAAAAACCAUCUAGUGCAGAGCUUGGCCCACAGUAAGCUCUCAGUGUGGUGUUUGUCAUCAACAAGAUCAUCAGUCUUUUCAUCAUCAAUAAACUGAUGCUGUGACUAAUAAGAGCAUAUGAGAUUCAGAGGCUGACUCAGCUCUAAUGCAAAUUUUCAGCAAGUAUGGCAUCCAGCUGAGCAAUUAUGCCUCAGCCCUGUGGUACAUGAGGAGCAAGGGAGACAUAGAUGAAUAUCAUGACCCCGUUCCUUUCUAAGCCAUCAGAAAUAAAGUCCUUCUUCGAUGUCCCAACGGUCUUG